UGGUGCUUUGGGCCGCGGGGAGGGGGGAGGAGGCCAACGUGAAAGCCUGCGCGGCGGCAGGGUUUUGCAGAGCACGCCGGCGUGAAGGCCCCAACUUGCAGAGGAGGUGGUGUAGCCGGACAAAAGCCAAAGUGGCCGGAAUAUUCUUCUUCUCCUCCUCCUCGGCCGCUUCCUCUCUCUCUCUCUCUCUCUCUCUCUCUCUCUCUGAGGGGUGGCGAAGGUGACGGGUGAGGGCACC
RNAcentral lists this long non-coding RNA (238 nucleotides) under Spirodela polyrhiza (greater duckweed). RNAcentral's name for it is "long non-coding RNA (SPOL_LNC000251)". Lineage: Eukaryota; Viridiplantae; Streptophyta; Magnoliopsida; Alismatales; Araceae. The record is from RNAcentral.